This 23-nucleotide ribosomal RNA is filed under the name Lasiodiplodia theobromae. Its description in RNAcentral is "partial 18S ribosomal RNA". Lineage: Eukaryota; Fungi; Ascomycota; Dothideomycetes; Botryosphaeriales; Botryosphaeriaceae. The record is from RNAcentral.
GGGGGACUGCGGAAGGAUCAUUA